GAUGAACGCUGGCGGCGUGCCUAAUACAUGCAAGUCGAGCGAACGGACGAGAAGCUUGCUUCUCUGAUGUUAGCGGCGGACGGGUGAGUAACACGUGGAUAACCUACCUAUAAGACUGGGAUAACUUCGGGAAACCGUAGCUAAUACCGGAUAAUAUUUUGAACCGCAUGGUUCAAAAGUGAAAGACGGUCUUGCUGUCACUUAUAGAUGGAUCCGCGCUGCAUUAGCUAGUUGGUAAGGUAACGGCUUACCAAGGCAACGAUGCAUAGCCGACCUGAGAGGGUGAUCGACCACACUGUAACUGAGACACGGUCCAGACUCCUACGGGAGGCAGCAGUAGGGAAUCUUCCGCAAUGGGCGAAAGCCUGACGUAGCAACGCCGCGUGAGUGAUGAAGGUCUUCGGAUCGUAAAGCUCUGUUAUUAGGGAAGAACAUAUGUGUAAGUAACUGUGCACAUCUUGACGAUACCUAAUCAGAAAGCCACGGCUAACUACGUG
Molecule: ribosomal RNA, 497 nt
Filed under: uncultured bacterium
Lineage: Bacteria
Description: partial 16S ribosomal RNA
Rfam family: Bacterial small subunit ribosomal RNA
Source: RNAcentral